UGGGCAACCUGCCCCUAGCUCCGGAAUAACCCCGGGAAACCGAGGCUAAUACCGGAUACGACCCUGCGCGGCAUCUCGCGGGGUGGAAAGUUCUUCGGCUAGGGAUGGGCCCGCGGCCUAUCAGCUUGUUGGUGGGGUAAUGGCCUACCAAGGCUUCGACGGGUAGCCGGCCUGAGAGGGCGACCGGCCACACUGGGACUGAGAUACGGCCCAGACUCCUACGGGAG
RNAcentral lists this ribosomal RNA (227 nucleotides) under uncultured bacterium. RNAcentral describes it as "partial 16S ribosomal RNA". It matches the Rfam family "Bacterial small subunit ribosomal RNA", at positions 118 to 347 of the family's 1533-position model. The record is from RNAcentral.